UUCAGCUUGCUUCGCGGAGCUUGCGCAUUUCCUCGCAUGGCAGGUCAGCGUCAGUUUUGCGCGGCGUGAAAAGGCUCGGGUAAGGUAGCUCUCUUCGGGGAGUGUUAUAGACCUGGGCAAAUGCGCAGCGCGGGACUGAGGAUUGCAGCGGACACCUCUUCGGAGGCGCGGCGACCGAACCCUGCUCGGCCACCCUCGUUCGAUAGCGUGCUAACGGACGCGGGAGCGGCAGUGCACCGGAACAGGCAAGCCAGCGG
RNAcentral lists this ribosomal RNA (257 nucleotides) under uncultured Archaeospora. RNAcentral describes it as "partial 28S ribosomal RNA". Lineage: Eukaryota; Fungi; Glomeromycota; Glomeromycetes; Archaeosporales; Archaeosporaceae. The record is from RNAcentral.